AACCUGUAAACUGUGUGGGGAAACUGUAUUUUACUGAGCUUGAAAUGACCUUCCGAACAUGGCUUUUUUUCUUCUGUGGAACAUAAAAUAAGAUGACAUAGAUUUUGGGAAAUGCACCUUGAUUCUUUUCUUUUUCAGCCAUUCUGUUGUAGAUUUGCUUAUAAUCUUCAGAUCAUUGUCCUGUUGCAUGACCCAAUUUUGGCCAAGCUUUAGCUCUAGGACGGAUGGCCUCACAUUUGACUCUAGAAUACUUUGGUAUAUAGAGGAGUUCAUGGUCGACUCAAUGAGGUGCCCAGUUCCUGUGCUUGAUACAUGAAGAGAGAGAAGAAGCUUUCUCCUGGCAACCCUUCCAAACAUGCCAUACUUGUCCCGUCUUUUUCUAAUUGUACUGUCAUGAACUUUAUCAUUCAUAAUGUUAACUGAGGCCUGUAGAGUCUGAGGUGUAGUUCUUGGGUUGUCUGCAAUUUCUCUGAGCAUUACACGGUCUGAUCUUUGGGUGAAUUUGCUGGGACGUCCACUCCUGGGAAGAAUGAUGUCUGUUUUGAAUGUCUUCCACUUGUGAAUAAUCUUCCUCACUGUAGAAUGAUGGACUUCAGAUUGUUUGGAAAUGGUCGUAUAACCCUUCCCAGACUGAUUGCGGCAACAGUUGCUUCUCUAAGUUCAUUGCUGAUGUCUUUCCUGCUUGGCAUUGUGUUAACACACCUGAAUGCUCUAGACCAGCAAACUGCCAGAACUUCAGCUUUUAUAGAGAUGAAAAUACAUUUUAUUAGCAGCUCCUGACUGAUACUGACCCUCUUAAUUCCUAAGGAAACAAUAAGGGUGUCCUUAGUUUGUCACCCAUGGCUUUUCCAUUUUGGUCUUUUUGUUAAAUAAAUAAUGACACGGUUUGAUAUGUCAUGCGUUGAUGUUCAUCUGAGGUUUUAUUUUCCAAAUUUCAAGACCUGCCAAGGAGCAGAUGAUUUUUUUUUUAUGUCCUGUUACGGAAAACCAUGGAAUUCAAUAGGGUGUCCUAACUUUUUCAUAUGACUGUAUAUUCACACCUGUACACUCUCACACAGGCAGAGAGAAUAAAAUGAAUGGAAGUCUA
This is a long non-coding RNA of Ctenopharyngodon idella (grass carp), 1087 nucleotides long. RefSeq lists it as uncharacterized. The transcript is spliced from 2 exons. The record is from RefSeq and is a predicted model, not a curated record. NCBI's taxonomy places the organism in Eukaryota, Metazoa, Chordata, Actinopteri, Cypriniformes, Xenocyprididae.